GAUGAACGCUAGCGGCAGGCUUAAUACAUGCAAGUCGAGGGGCAGCAUGGUGUAGCAAUACACUGAUGGCGACCGGCAAACGGGUGCGGAACACGUACAGAACCUUCCUUCGAGCGGGGAAUAGCCCAGAGAAAUUUGGAUUAAUACCCCAUAGUAUAGCGGAGAGGCAUAUCUCUGUUAUUAAAGAUUUAUCACUUGAAGAUGGCUGUGCGGCUGAUUAGGUAGUUGGCGGGGUAACGGCCCACCAAGCCUGCGAUCAGUAACUGGUGUGAGAGCACGACCAGUCACACGGGCACUGAGACACGGGCCCGACUCCUACGGGAGGCAGCAGUAAGGAAUAUUGGUCAAUGGACGAAAGUCUGAACCAGCCAUGCCUCGUGGAGGAUGAAGGUCCUCUGGAUUGUAAACUUCUUUAUAUGGGACGAAAAAGGUCUUUCUAGAUCGUCUGACGGUACCAUAUGAAUAAGCACCGGCUAACUCCGUGCCAGCAGCCGACGG
This 498-nucleotide ribosomal RNA is filed under the name uncultured bacterium. Its description in RNAcentral is "bacterial SSU rRNA". It matches the Rfam family "Bacterial small subunit ribosomal RNA", at positions 28 to 520 of the family's 1533-position model. The record is from RNAcentral.